GAAACUCUGGAGAGACCCGUUAAAGGGCGCCGAAGGGGCAAGGCUUAAUUGCUCAAUCUCUCAGGCAAAAGGACAGAGAAU
This 81-nucleotide non-coding RNA is filed under the name uncultured Terrisporobacter sp. RNAcentral describes it as "Glycine riboswitch". It matches the Rfam family "Glycine riboswitch aptamer", at positions 9 to 86 of the family's 94-position model. Rfam says of the family: This family represents the bacterial glycine riboswitch. The record is from RNAcentral. Lineage: Bacteria; Bacillati; Bacillota; Clostridia; Peptostreptococcales; Peptostreptococcaceae.